Molecule: non-coding RNA, 36 nt
Organism: Capnocytophaga sp. oral taxon 329
Lineage: Bacteria; Pseudomonadati; Bacteroidota; Flavobacteriia; Flavobacteriales; Flavobacteriaceae
Source: Rfam
AAGGCAGUGCCCGAAAAGCCUGUAAUAGAGUAGGGA